UCCUGCUUCGAGUGAACCCAUUAAGGAUUGCGAUGUGGCUGCUCAGAUCAUGAAAACCAUUUCUGCUGACCAGAAAGUUUUCACCCCCAAUGUCUUGCUUCUUGAAAUUAGGGGGAAGAAGGCUCUUCCUCCUUCUUGAGCUUUGACGCUUGUUUUCACUUUUCUGAAGGUUUCAUGAGUCAUGACACUCACUAUCAAAGAUGUCUUUGCCCUGACGUGCCUUCCUCCUGCACACUUAACUUCUUUUAAGUUUUCGCAUUUAUUCACCUGCCCAAAAGAAGCAAUUGCGCUUUUAUUUGUUGCAAAACGAGUUCAUGGCUUGGGCUCCAUUUUGUACAAUGAAGAGUGUUCGUUUUACCUCUUGUGGCUCUGUAGAUCAUUGUUCAAAAUUACUUCGAGGAGGAUUAUUUCCACCUAUGUGCUAAUUGCUUGAGCUCAAGCACAAGGAAUUUGAGUAGCGAUGGGCCCUAUGUUUCCGGCUGAUGUUUACAGCAGAGCUAUGGUAUUGGCUUGUGCUUCUCCAUGUAAUGUAAUAUCCUAGGGGGUCAUUUAUGGUUUGUUCAGCUUUGGGCAUACACCUAUUUCCAAAGAUGAGUCCAACUCCUAUGGACAGCAUUGGUCCGAUGCCAUGCCAGAUACGACAAGUUCUAGGACAUUCCGUCAUUCAAACAGUGGUUUGAUAAUUCUCCAAAUAUGGUAGAACCUACAAUAUUGUAGAUUUCAAGCCUUUCAAUGAAAUGAAAUUUGGGUUCUUGGAAUUUAAGACCCUAUAUUCUAUGGCAGAUGAUGAUAAGACUCGAGCCAUAUACGCCAACAUUCUCCAAACUUGAGAUUUACUUGUUUUUGGCUAGAGAUAUAUAGUCCUUUUGUUGCACGCCAACUAGGCUUUGAGCAACUAGUAUCUUUUCCCCGAGUCUAUACUGAAAUAACCCAGGUACUCAAGAAGAAGCUUGAGGAAAGAAGAGAUCACUUCUUUUGUGAAGAAGAGUAAAGAUUUGGCAAAGAAGUUCAUUUUUCUGUGUUUUAUACAUUGCUCGUGCACUUCUGCCAAAUUUCAAGACUGAUGGGAUGGAUAUAUGGCAACUAGGAAUGAUAUAGACUCAAUGGUCAGGCCUUGUUUGGUUUUUUAUUUUUUUCAUCACUCAUCACUCAUAAUCCAUCACUUAAAAAUACAUACAUUGUUUGACACCAUCACCCACUUCCAUCACUCAAUAUCAAACUGUUUUGUUACCUGCGAAAGGCUUUCCUCCCCAUCUUUUUCUCUGUUCUCAUUUUCUCUUUCCCCUUCAGCCCUAUCACUCUCACAAAGCACAAACCCGAACCCAUAAAAAUUUCUCGUUGCAUUUUGAAGGUCAUCAAAGUCCUUGAAGGCUUCGAUUAUGAACUCUCCAACCGCAAAGAUAUCAACAGGAUUCUGGGUCCUAAAGCUUCUUGCAUUUCCUUCAAAGACUCUGCUCGUCGUUGCUUUGGCUACAUGGUGUCCAAGAAGAAGUAUAUCUACACAAUUGACGAUGACUGCUUUCAUCACAGUCUGUAAAGAAAAUCAUUGAAAUCAAUCCUUACAUGCUUGGCACUAUGGCUGGAGGAGCUGCUGACUAUCAAUUUUGGCACAGAAAUCUGGGCAUUAAGUGCGAUUGCACGGAUUGGCAAACAAGCGCAGAAUUUCAGUCACAGGGGCAUCAAAGCUGUUGGCAAACAUUCUGUACUCUUACCGUGGAAUGGGUCUGUCUGUUGGGACCAUGAUUGCUGGAUGGGAUGAGAUUGUAAAGACACAUGACUGUAUCAUGUCAUGUUAUUUUGUACUCUUUUAAGCAGACUCUUGUAAUUUGCAUUUUCUAUUGGUUGUAGAUAGUAUUACUUCCUUUAAAUAUCAGAUAUAAGAGCAAGAAUUAGGGACUGAAUUGAGGACUGAAUUUGUAAUUUGUAUUCUUUACUCCUCCUCCCUGCUUUCUGCCCAGGUUUAUGGAUGUAUGGGAGGACUGAAUUGAGGGCUAAGCAUUGAAAUUUGAAAGAGUUCCUAGAAUUUUGUAA
Long non-coding RNA from Quercus robur (English oak), 2031 nucleotides. RefSeq lists it as uncharacterized. The record is from RefSeq and is a predicted model, not a curated record. The transcript is spliced from 3 exons. Lineage: Eukaryota; Viridiplantae; Streptophyta; Magnoliopsida; Fagales; Fagaceae.